Molecule: ribosomal RNA, 468 nt
Filed under: uncultured bacterium
Lineage: Bacteria
Description: partial 16S ribosomal RNA
Rfam family: Bacterial small subunit ribosomal RNA
Source: RNAcentral
GACGAACGCUGGCGGCGUGCUUAACACAUGCAAGUCGAACGGAAAGGCCCUGCUUUUGUGGGGUGCUCGAGUGGCGAACGGGUGAGUAACACGUGAGUAACCUGCCCUUGACUUUGGGAUAACUUCAGGAAACUGGGGCUAAUACCGGAUAGGAGCUCCUGCUGCAUGGUGGGGGUUGGAAAGUCUCGGCGGUUGGGGAUGGACUCGCGGCUUAUCAGCUUGUUGGUGGGGUAGUGGCUUACCAAGGCUUUGACGGGUAGCCGGCCUGAGAGGGUGACCGGCCACAUUGGGACUGAGAUACGGCCCAGACUCCUACGGGAGGCAGCGGUGGGGAAUAUUGCACAAUGGGCGGAAGCCUGAUGCAGCAGCGCCGCGGGCGGGAUGACGGCCUUCGGGUUGUAAACCGCUUUCGCCUGUGACGAAGCGUGAGUGACGGUAAUGGGUAAAGAAGCACCGGCUAACUACGUG